UCCCCGAAGUAAAUCUGAGCUUUGUGCAGCUCCGGAGCCAGAGCGUCCAGAUGCGGUCCGGGAGAUUAGCAAAGUCGGUGGAAGCCAAGCUGGAGAAAGCGCGGGCGCAGGGAGAAAAGUAGCCCCAAGUGCCCUGCAUUUGCUCUUCUAACAAAGUUCUGUUUGUUGACGGACUGACCGGCUUACCGACACAAAGAUGGGAAGCAAAUGGAGAGACGGAUCAAGGCCCUUCCUCGGCAUCUGGAGGAAGCUUGGGCGAGUGUCUUGGUCGCCAGAGCUCAGAGCUCUCCGCUGAACUCUUAUCUCCAACUUGGCAACUAGACCGCGAGCUUGCGAAGCAAGGAGAGGACAGGGAUGGUCACCUACCGAGAACCUCUGUGCUCCAGCGCUGGGCCUGGCAUGUUCCCCAUCCAUCAUCUCAUUUAAUUCCCAGGACAGCCCUUUGAGGUAGGGUUUACCAAAGGUGAAUGAAACAGAGCCUCGGGAAAUUGCCCAAGUUCACAUAGCCACGUGGCUGAGUGUUUGAAUCUGGAUCAGGCUGUCUGCAAAGUUUUUACCCUCAGCCCUAAUCCCCGCUGCCUAGGAGGGUAAGGAGGCUGUCUAGAG
Molecule: long non-coding RNA, 606 nt
Organism: Homo sapiens (human)
Lineage: Eukaryota; Metazoa; Chordata; Mammalia; Primates; Hominidae
Exons: 3
Source: RefSeq, a predicted model, not a curated record